This 90-nucleotide transfer RNA is filed under the name Acidocella sp. RNAcentral's name for it is "tRNA-Ser". It matches the Rfam family "tRNA". From Rfam's summary of the family: Transfer RNA (tRNA) molecules are approximately 80 nucleotides in length. Lineage: Bacteria; Pseudomonadati; Pseudomonadota; Alphaproteobacteria; Acetobacterales; Acidocellaceae. The record is from RNAcentral. RNAcentral also lists the same sequence under 9 other names.
GGAGAGAUGGCCGAGCGGCUUAAGGCGCACGCUUGGAAAGCGUGUGUGCGUGAAAGCGUACCCAGGGUUCGAAUCCCUGUCUCUCCGCCA